This 267-nucleotide unclassified non-coding RNA is filed under the name uncultured fungus. RNAcentral describes it as "sequence contains ITS1, 5.8S rRNA gene". The stretch from base 219 to 267 matches the Rfam family "5.8S ribosomal RNA", at positions 1 to 49 of the family's 154-position model. Lineage: Eukaryota; Fungi. The record is from RNAcentral.
UUUCCGUAGGUGAACCUGCGGAAGGAUCAUUAGAGAAUUUAUGAGAGCUUCGUGCUUUCUAACAUACCCUAUAAACCAUAAACACCUGUGCACCUUUUUUAUUAGGAAUCUGUUGCUGUAGUUACUAGUCUCUUCGGGGGCAAAUGCUUGGCGACCUUUUCUUAUACACACACAAACAUUAUAGUCUUGAAUGUAAUACAAAAUUGUAACAAAAAUACAACUUUCAACAACGGAUCUCUUGGCUCUCGCAUCGAUGAAGAAUGCAGC